GCAUUUCAUCAUCAUAGUGAAUAAAGUGCAAAUAUUUUUUUUAUAAGAAUACAUUUAGGAUGAGGUUUUUCUCAAAAGAGUUAAAGAUUGCAAUAGCACACAAUAAAUAUUUUAAACUAGAAGUAAAUGAAGAACAAUAUUACUUGUAUGAGCAUAAUAUAUAGUUGCAUUAUCUCAUUGCCUCUUCUUUCAUUGUGGCUUGCUUUCUUCUUUCUCUUUUGGUUUUUCUUCUUCUACCUUCUUAUCUUUAGGUUUUGCUUCUUCAACUUUGGCUUUAGGUUUUGCUUCUUCUUUGGCUUUUGGUUUUCCUUUUUGGGGCUUCAUGAAACAAAAACAAGAACAACAUGGACAUUGGAACAAGAAC
Molecule: unclassified non-coding RNA, 364 nt
Filed under: Hevea brasiliensis (rubber tree)
Lineage: Eukaryota; Viridiplantae; Streptophyta; Magnoliopsida; Malpighiales; Euphorbiaceae
Source: RNAcentral